UCUUCAUUCGACGUACUCUCUCGCCGGUCAGAGAGACGAGAGAGUACGAGGAAUGAAGAGA
This is a non-coding RNA of Pristionchus pacificus, 61 nucleotides long. The record is from Rfam. NCBI's taxonomy places the organism in Eukaryota, Metazoa, Nematoda, Chromadorea, Rhabditida, Neodiplogasteridae.